CCUCUCCUUUUAUCCCUUUUUGUUAGCGGUUCAAAAUUCAUUAUCUUUCU
Molecule: transfer RNA, 50 nt
Filed under: Patrinia triloba
Lineage: Eukaryota; Viridiplantae; Streptophyta; Magnoliopsida; Dipsacales; Caprifoliaceae
Description: partial tRNA-Leu
Source: RNAcentral